GUAAAGUUCUUUUACGAGGGAUAAUUAUGAUAGUACUUCGUGAAUAAGUGACAGCAAACUAUGUGCCAGCAGCUGCGGUAAUACAUAGGUCGCGAGCAUUAUUCGGAUUUAUUGGGCGUAAAGCAAGCGCAGGCGGAUGUGUAAGUUCUGUGUUAAAUGCAGCUACUCAAUAGUUGUAUGCACCGAAUACUACAUGUCUAGAUUGUGGUAGGGAGUUUCGGAAUUAAGCAUGGAGCGGUGGAAUGUGUAGAUAUGCUUAAGAACACCAGAGGCGAAGGCGGAAACUUAGGCCAUAAAUGACGCUUAGGCUUGAAAGUGUGGGGAGCAAAUGGGAUUAGAUACCCCAGUAGUCCACACCGUAAACGAUGGGUAUUAGAUAUUAGGGCUUUAGCUUUAGUGUUGUAGCUUACGCGUUAAAUACCCCGCCUGGGUAGUACAUAUGCAAAUAUGAAACUCAAAGGAAUUGACGGGGACCUGAACAAGUGGUGGAGCAUGUUGCUUAAUUCGAUAAUACAC
This 516-nucleotide ribosomal RNA is filed under the name Mycoplasma haemofelis. RNAcentral's name for it is "bacterial SSU rRNA". It matches the Rfam family "Bacterial small subunit ribosomal RNA", at positions 425 to 962 of the family's 1533-position model. The record is from RNAcentral. Lineage: Bacteria; Bacillati; Mycoplasmatota; Mollicutes; Mycoplasmatales; Mycoplasmataceae.